This 415-nucleotide long non-coding RNA is filed under the name Nicotiana tabacum (common tobacco). Its description in RNAcentral is "long non-coding RNA (NTAB_LNC000267)". The record is from RNAcentral. Lineage: Eukaryota; Viridiplantae; Streptophyta; Magnoliopsida; Solanales; Solanaceae.
AAAAGUUUAGUUUAGGGUUUUAAAACCCUAAUCCUGAUUAAAGGGAAAAGUUCAGUUUAGGGUUUAAAACCCUAAUGCUGACUAAAGGGAAGAGCUCAGUUUAGGGUUUAAAACCCUAAUCCUGAUUAAAGGGAAAAGUUCAGUUUAGGGUUUAAAACCCUAAUGCUGACUAAAGGGAAGAGUUCAGUUUAAGGUUUAAAACCCUAAUGCUGACUAAAUGGAAAGAGUUCAGUUUAAGGUUUAAAACCCUAAUGCUGACUAAAUGGAAAAGUUUAGUUUAGGGUUUAAAACCCUAAUCCUGAUUAAAGGGAAAAGUUCAGUUUAGGGUAUAAAACCCUAAUAUUGAUUAAAGGGAAAAGUUCAGUUUAGGGUUUAAAACCCUAAUGCUGACUAAAGGGAAGAGUUCAGUUUAAGG